Molecule: small nuclear RNA, 85 nt
Filed under: Bombyx mori (domestic silkworm)
Lineage: Eukaryota; Metazoa; Arthropoda; Insecta; Lepidoptera; Bombycidae
Source: RNAcentral
GUACUUGCUUCGGCAGUACAUAUAUUAAAAUUGGAACGAUACAGAGAAGGAUGACACGCAAAAUCGUGAAGCGUUCCACAUUUUU